RNAcentral lists this long non-coding RNA (1025 nucleotides) under Piliocolobus tephrosceles (Ugandan red Colobus). RNAcentral describes it as "lncRNA (ENSPTEG00000000806.1)". Lineage: Eukaryota; Metazoa; Chordata; Mammalia; Primates; Cercopithecidae. The record is from RNAcentral.
AAUUCUAGAGGAUUGUUCAAAAAUUUUUUUGAAGCCAUUAUUUCAUCAUAUUGGUUAAGUAUAUUAGAUCUUUUUUUGUUUUUUUUAUUACUGUUAAUAAUGGGGUUGUUGUUGUUCUUAUUGUUGUUCUUGCUCCUGUUCUUAUUCUUGUUAUUAAUGUUGUCCUGAUUGAUAUCCUUACUGUUGUUAACAUUGCCAUGCUUACUACCUUCAUCUGCUGUACUAGAGUUAAUAAUCUUUUGGGGUGUAUCAUUGUUUGAUAUUUUAUGUAAAUUACUAUUAUUAUCCAACAGUUGGUUCACUUCUUGCAAUGCUCCAUCAAUACACUUAACAGAAGUUGAGUGUUCACUUUUGUUUUUAAUUUUAUGAAAAAUGUUUGAUACGUUAUUGUUUAUCUCAAUUCGUGCUUUAUUUUUUAUUAGUUUUUCUAUUAAAUUAUUUUUUUUAAUUUUAAAAUUUAAUUUUUUUACUUUUUUUCUACGUUUAGUUUGGCUUUUUGUUUCAUUGAUUAAUUCAUUUUUUGCUUGACACUUUUUAGCAUCUUCAGUUUGUUUUAAAUAUCGUUUGUAAAUUGUCAUGAAUUGUUUAGCAACAUUGUCACUUUUAUUUUUAUUACUACUUUUUUCAUGUCUUGUUUCUUUUUCUUCUUUUUUUUCUUCAAUUCUUUCUUCUUUUUUCUUUUCUAUUUCUUCCGCUUUUUUUUUGUUUAUUUCAAAUUUUAGCUUUUCAUCAUAAGGGGUAUCGAUUCUAUACUUUUUUCUUUCUCUUGUUAUUUUCAUCAUUUUUUUUUUUUUUUUUUUUUUUUUUUUUUUUUUUUUUUUUUUUUUUUUUUUUUAUUUUUUUUUUUUUUUUUUUUUUUUUUUUUUUUUUUUUUUUUUUUUUUUUUUUUUUUUAUUUAACAUCAUGACUUAAAAAUUGUUGUAAAAUAUAAAACUUAUGCACUUUAUAUAUCCCUUUUGGUAAAAAAAAAAAAAGAAGCAAAAACAAGGCAAAAAUAAAACAACCUAAAUAAUAUAGUAAGACCA